GAGGAGAGAUCAACAUUUGGGGGUACCAACAAUAUCCCUUAUGGAUUGAUGUGCAAAUUCUGGAACUUCGGUCAUAUCAAUACAUUUCUGGCAAGUUCCUUUCGGCAGUUCAAAGGCACUAUAAGAUCAGGACUCUCUGUGCGGAAAGGAUUUUACAUCAGGAGAUAAACUCACAGGGGCAAUUAGGCCCCCAAAACGGUCUUUGGGCAUGCCUGACCUAAGCUCACGAUGUCUAUCCUCCUGGCUAAUUCCUCUCUGCGUGACGCCAAUACCUCUUCUCCUGCACAAAAGCUGCUUUCUCUCCUGCCCAUCUUUCGCGUGGGGCCAAAAAGCUGCCUUGAGCUGCCUGUGGGGACACACCCCUUCGGAAAAACAAGAGGAAUGUGUAGGAAAGUAACUUCCAGUGUAUUUCUUAAUUUUUAAAAUCAAAGGAUCAUGUGUGUGUCUGUGUAUCAAUGCCAUUAAAUAGAUGACAACAAA
This is a non-coding RNA of Podarcis muralis (Common wall lizard), 480 nucleotides long. Lineage: Eukaryota; Metazoa; Chordata; Lepidosauria; Squamata; Lacertidae. The record is from RefSeq and is a predicted model, not a curated record.